RNAcentral lists this ribosomal RNA (374 nucleotides) under uncultured bacterium. RNAcentral's name for it is "bacterial SSU rRNA". It matches the Rfam family "Bacterial small subunit ribosomal RNA", at positions 28 to 386 of the family's 1533-position model. The record is from RNAcentral.
GAUGAACGCUGGCGGCGUGCUUAACACAUGCAAGUCGAGCGAAGCGCUUUGGUUAGAUUCUUCGGAUGAAGUUUUGGUGACUGAGUGGCGGACGGGUGAGUAACGCGUGGGUAACCUGCCUCAUACAGGGGGAUAACAGUUAGAAAUGGCUGCUAAUACCGCAUAAGCGCACGGUACUGCAUGGUACAGUGUGAAAAACUCCGGUGGUAUGAGAUGGACCCGCGUUGGAUUAGCUAGUUGGCAGGGUAACGGCCCACCAAGGCGACGAUCCAUAGCCGGCCUGAGAGGGUGGACGGCACAUUGGGACUGAGACACGGCCCAGACUCCUACGGGAGGCAGCAGUGGGGAAUAUUGCACAAUGGGGGAAACCCUGA